Molecule: ribosomal RNA, 235 nt
Filed under: uncultured bacterium
Lineage: Bacteria
Description: partial 16S ribosomal RNA
Rfam family: Bacterial small subunit ribosomal RNA
Source: RNAcentral
GGCGGGGUAACGGCCCACCAAGUCGACGAUCGGUAGCCGGACUGAGAGGUUGAACGGCCACAUUGGGACUGAGACACGGCCCAGACUCCUACGGGAGGCAGCAGUGAGGGAUAUUGGUCAAUGGGGGAAACCCUGAACCAGCAACGCCGCGUGAGGGAUGACGGUCUUCGGAUUGUAAACCUCUGUCCUCUGUGAAGAUAAUGACGGUAGCAGAGGGGAAGCUCCGGCUAACUAC